GUCACGCCUGGGCGCAGCCUGAUCCAGCAAUGCCGCGUGAGUGAUGAAGGCCUUCGGGUUGUAAAGCUCUUUCGCACGCGACGAUGAUGACGGUAGCGUGAGAAGAAGCCCCGGCUAACUUCGUGCCAGCAGCCGCGGUAAUACGAAGGGGGCUAGCGUUGUUCGGAAUUACUGGGCGUAAAGGGCGCGUAGGCGGUACUUCAAGUCAGGCGUGAAAGCCCCGGGCUCAACCUGGGAACCGCGCUUGAGACUGGAGAACUAGAGUUCGGGAGAGGAUGGUGGAAUUCCCAGUGUAGAGGUGAAAUUCGUAGAUAUUGGGAAGAACACCGAUGGCGAAGGCAGCCAUCUGGACCGACACUGACGCUGAGGCGCGAAAGCGUGGGGAGCAAACAGGAUUAGAUACCCUGGUAGUCCACGCCGUAAACGAUGAGUGCUAGACGUUGGGGCCCUUAGGGCUUCGGUGUCGCAGCUAACGCAUUAAGCACUCCGCCUGGGGAGUACGGCCGCAAGGUUAAAACUCAAAUGAAUUUGACGGG
RNAcentral lists this ribosomal RNA (536 nucleotides) under Skermanella aerolata. Its description in RNAcentral is "bacterial SSU rRNA". It matches the Rfam family "Bacterial small subunit ribosomal RNA", at positions 367 to 917 of the family's 1533-position model. Lineage: Bacteria; Pseudomonadati; Pseudomonadota; Alphaproteobacteria; Rhodospirillales; Azospirillaceae. The record is from RNAcentral.